This 446-nucleotide long non-coding RNA is filed under the name Nicotiana benthamiana. RNAcentral describes it as "long non-coding RNA (NBEN_LNC025985)". The record is from RNAcentral. Lineage: Eukaryota; Viridiplantae; Streptophyta; Magnoliopsida; Solanales; Solanaceae.
UGAAGUUGUGAAAUUGAAAGCAUAAUUCAAGAAUCCAAGAUGUGUCUAACAUAGAAUAAACUAAAAUAAAUCUAAAUCUUGUCAUUUGACGACGAGUCAUGUCUACGAGAAGGCGGUGUAGGUAAGGCACCUAUGAGGACCGACAUACGAUUUUGGAGUAGUUGAUCAACUUGCUCACACACCUCUUGUUGCAAUUCGUAUCUCAUUUCUUCACGUAAUUCUUCUCUCAUUUCUUAUCUAAUCUCUUCUCUGAUCUGUGAUCUCAUAUCAUGCUUCAUCUCUUCCUUACUUUCUUGCAAAAAGAUGUCCGACACAUUCACCCGAGCAUUAAAGUCUAUAUCUUGAAGUGGAGAUAUCGAAAUAGAGGAUGCACCAACAUGCCCAUAUAAAGGAGCUUGAGAACCAAGACCAUAAAUGCGCGUCUUCUUAACAUCGACUUCCUCCAA